This 17190-nucleotide long non-coding RNA is filed under the name Triticum aestivum (bread wheat). RNAcentral's name for it is "long non-coding RNA (TAES_LNC021079)". The record is from RNAcentral. Lineage: Eukaryota; Viridiplantae; Streptophyta; Magnoliopsida; Poales; Poaceae.
GAGGUCAUACAAAUCUACUGUAACUUGUCGCAAGAUGUUUUAUUUUGUUUUGUUUCAUAUACAAAUCUAAGUUUGAUUCGCUCGAAAGCAAAACAAACAAAUAAAGUCGUCGUGCACAAAAAAGCCUGAAGUGAAUCAAGAACAUUUCGAGGAUGCACAAUAACAAUAUCAAUCGUCGGAAUUAAAAUGAUGGAUACUAAUAGUGCGGCUCCACCAACAUCGUAGUACCACAAAACAAGCAGCAAGCAACUUAAGGACAUGGCGACGGAGCAGAUGGCAGAUAACGAACGACAUGGGUACCUUUGCGCCGGACAGGCCCGGACUAUGCAUCACCCAUGCCAGCAAAAUAAUCAAAAAUGGCGAAGACCAACUGCGCCGCGAUCGCUGUGACGCUGAUGGCAACCUUUGCCACCUCCGGAACCUUGCCGCCCAACAUAUUCCCUACGGCGGAGGAGAUCAGACGGAGAAGCUCCAUUAUCUCUGCAGUGUCCGAGGAUGCACGCCUCCACUUUGAUGACUCUGGCGGCACGAACUUGCUUGGAAACAUGGGUGUAGAGGCCCUGUUGAUGCCAUCCAAGAUGGCGGCGACGAGAGACGCAACAUCACCAGCUCGCACGAGUCCGUUCACGCCGUCCAGCUUCCUCUUCGCCCAAGCGGCCGCCGCGACGCCGUGCAAGCACUCAAUCAUCUGGACGACGCGGCUGCUAACACAAGCGGCAGCGCGCUUCACCGCGUCGCAGGCCUGGGCGACGACCUGCUUGAACUCCUCGUAGGCCUCGGCCGAAGCUACCUCGCGGUACAGCCGGGACACGUAGAAUGCCGCGGCCUCCGCCGCGUCGGCGAUGGCGUCGAAAACAGCUUCAACUGCCGCAUACGCUGACCUGUGCGCAGCCUCGACGGCUGCUCCCCCCAGCACCGCCCCCACCGCCACCAGCGCAACCUUGCUCAUCGCGCCUCCCAUUGUGUGUCUCUGAAAUCUACGUUGAGGUAGAGACUACGAUGGGCAGGAGUUCUACUACAAGUGACCGUGAGGCUUCGGAGCGGGUUUUAUGGUGAGCGGGCUAACCAGGAGCUGUGACGAUCGAUUGAAUCCGAUGCGCGCGUGCGUGGGAAAACGAAGUGCCGGAGGAUCAAUUAACGCUCCGUCGCAUGGGAACUCGUGGUUGCGCCGGGCGCAGUUUGACCGGGCAGUCUCUCCAGCAGGCUGAAAAUAUCACCUGAUACCAACUCUUUAGACUGCUCACAGUGGGAAGUAACAUAGAGUAGUAACUUGUCGAUGUUACUACCUCCGUCUCGGUGAUAAGUCAUUCAUGUAGUUCUAGGUCGACGAUUUAAUUAUCUAAAUAUGUAUUAUAUGUGACAAAAAAUAUAUAUUUAGAAACUACAUCCGUGUAGAAAUCCAGUGAUAUACUUUUCAUGAUAUAUAACACAUAUUUAAUUCCUCAAAUCGAUGACCUAGAACUACGCGAAUGACUUAUUCACCUAGACGGAGGUAGUACUAGUCUAUGUUAUUACCUCCAUAGUGGGUAGUAACAUAUGAGUGAUAUCAUGAAAGAGUUCAUUUAUUAGGCUAUAGACUCAUUAUGCCUUGAAAUGUGUGAUGUUACAGUAACUAGCUAAGUUACCAUAAACCCCUCUCUCCUUAUUAAUUAGCUGCCACAUAAGCAAUCUUGUAUUGAAAUGUGUGAUGUUACUACUUAAGUUACUCCCAUUGUGACUAGUCUUACAUGCUACUAUCAUGAUACCAACUUCUAAAAUUCAAUGUUUUAAAUAGCGGACUACUCUAUAGAAAAUAGCGGGAGGCCUCCAAAUCAGCUACUGAAAAGUUUAUUUAUGAAGGCGACCAUUUAGCGGCACCCUGCUGAAAAGUUCAAAUUUAAACAUGUCAAAAAUUUCAGAAAAAAAACCAUGGAUGUUCACAACAGAUAUUUCGACAACCUCUAACAAAUUCAGAUUAAAAUUUGACAUACACAUGGAGAAAGAAAAAGGACAAAUUUAUCAUGAAUAGUGUCAAAAGAAGACAUUACAAAAAUGACACUAUUCACAUUUAAAUUUGUCUUCUUUGUAUCUCCACGUGUGUUUCGGAUUUUGAUUUUUUUUAGGGGUUGUCGACGUACUUCCCCUCUCGAGUAGAGCAACGGAUGGAUGAGUGCAUGCUCGGCGGCUCGAUCGGCGAUCGGCCUUUUAAUUCGAUUGAAAUGAAUUACGGUCACGAGUUACGAGUAUACUGUGAAGUCCGUACACACAUGAAGAAUGGACAUCCCAAGUUUUAUUUUUUGCUUGGAUGACAUUAAGGCGCCCUGACCUCUGGGUCUCGGCCCGGGUGCUCUGGUUCAAUACUCCCUCUAUUCCCAUGAAUAAAGCGGAGUAAAAUACACUCAAAAAUCCUAAAAGUAUUUCAAGUGUGUGAAGUAUAGGUCUUAAAAGUUCGAAAUUAUUCACCACGGGUCCUAAAAGUAUUUCGAAUGUGUCAACUACUAAUAGGUCAUAAAAGUUGCGGGUAAAAUACACAUAUAAGACCUGUGGUGAGCGAUUUCAAAUUUUUAGGAUCUACUUGACACAUUUGAAAUACUUUUUGGACCUACGGUGUAUUUUACUCAAUAAAGCACACAAAAUUUUAAAUUCAAGUUUGACCAGAAAUUAAACUAAUAUAUAUAUAUAUAUAUAUAUAUAUAUGACUUAAAAACUAUACCGCUGUUAUACUUUAAAAAAUUAAUUCAAUGAUAUAUUUUUUAUCACAAAAUCCACAUUUGGUUGGUCUAAUUUAUGGUCAAAAUCAAUUUUUGGGGUGUGUGGACACCUUAUUGUUUGGAAUGGAGCGAGUAUAUGUUGAUCUCUAGCGGCGGCUUCGCCAUUUGCGGCUCUAUGACCAGCCCGACGAUCUGCAGUGGCGAUGGACUGACUCCGACAACUAUACUGCUAAGUAUUGUUAGGGUAACUCCAACGGGUCGGUGCAUUUUCGUCUGCCUAUGUCAUCUGAUUCUGUCCGUGCGGGCUAUCAUAGUUUUGUCACGACAGAUGUCCUCGUGAAAGGACUUAGUCGUGGAGCCAUCGCUAUGGGUUAGCUUAAAGAGGUUAAACCGGACAAGGGACACGAGGGUUUUUAUACUAGUUCGCCCCCUUCGAUGAAGGUAAAAGCCUACGUCUAGUUGUGUUUCGUAUUGCUAGAGUUUCGAUGAUCAGGGAGCGAAUCCAAUUUGCUUGGCUCUCGAGUUGUUGUGUGUUGUCCUUAAACCGCGACCGGGUCGUCCCUUUAUAUACACAGGUUGACGCCCGCCAGUUUACAGAGUCCCGAGGCCGGAUUAUAAACGUGUCUGGCUCGGUCUCUAUCCUUCCUAUCUUACAAUGUAAGUUACAGGAGAGAGUCGGUUUACAUCUACAGGCCUUAACUCGCCUUUGGGCCUUGGGCCGUCGUAAAGCGUCAUCAUCCUUACGUCUUCAUGGGCUUCUAAUCUUCAUAAAGUUAACUCAGCUACUCCUGGCCGGUUUACGUCCAAUAGUAAUAUCCCCAACACGGGCAAAAAUCAUGGCCUAAAGUGGCAACGCAGACGGACCGUUGUCUAUUUUGUUGUCCGCUUUGACCAAUUUCUAGCCUAAAUUUGGGUUGGGUUGGCGUCUACGUGGACAACCGCGGAUGCCUGCGUUGUCCUCGCCCCACCCCACUGACUUUGACCUUCCCGUUCUCUUCGCCCUCACCGCUGCCACCCCGCUACCGUCCUCUUCAACACCCCCCACCACCACCCAGCCACCACCGUCAGGUUUGUUUCCACUUCUUGUCGCCGAUGUUGUACCUUGCGGCCCGCACCCUACACGUCGUUGCCGCCCUCCGCACAUCACCUCCACCGGCAAAGGAUGUUGAAUUUGACGGCCCAGCUCCCGGAACCGGCAAGGAUUGAAGUCUUCACUGGUCGAGACUCGUCAGCGCCCGUGAAGUCGCCGCCCACAAGGUGUUCGGCCGUUUGCCCGGCCUAGUUAUGAGUUACAAAUUCAUACUCUGAAGGAUCAUGGCGGAUAGCUCAGAUGUUUUCUUUUACAAUAACAUCAUAUGUUCAUCAUUGUCCGAAGAAUCGUCCGACAAGGUGAAUGAUGUUUUGGUUGGUACACUUUUUGUCAAUUAACACAUUUGGAGGCAACGACCAUUGUUCAGGGGGGAGGGGGGUAAAGGGCCAUGUGGCUGGUUUAAAUCGUAACAGAGAACCGGGCCAUAUCCUACUCUUUAACGAUUAUUUCCAUUGCAAAAGCCACUAUUUUCUGGCAAGCUUUUUCGGUGAUGAUUCUGGAUAGUGAGACCAUUGUUCAACCAUCGCGAGGGAGUGGCGGGUUAUGAUGAUUACUUCGGAUGCAAGCUAGAUGCCCUUGGUAAGAUUAGAUCUCCUCUUAUGAGAAAUGCACUGCAGCUGUUCGAAUGCUUGCAUAUGGAGUUUCCGGUGAUCUUGCUGAUCAGUACAGUGCAUGCUUGAGUCCACAUGCCUUUGAUUCAUUAUACAUGUUCCGCAAAGUUAUGGUUCAGGUGUUUGGCCCGAAGUAUUUGAGCUAGCUAUGGUUAUAUUCGUGUUUGCUAUGUAGUUUAAAUCAAAUUGAGCUAUGAAUGAUCAAAUUUGUGUGCAUAUAAGGGAUAAGGGGCCAUACAAGGGCAAAAAUUUGAAGAGAUCAGCAAGAGAUGCUCUAAUUUAGUUAAGUUGUUCAAGCCAUUUGAAAUUAUGAAUAUGCCUUGAUCUAAGUUAGGAAGAUCAUCAUUUUACAUUCAUAUUGUCUACCUACUUAUCUGUUAGUGUACUUCAGGAUGCGACUGCAUAUUGAGAUUGUAUGCUAGUUGAUCCUUUCAUCUUUGAUUUGCAGUUGUUAAAUGCUGUAGAUUAACAGAGUAUGAGAAGAUUGGGAUAUGAAGCAUCAAGGAGAAUGCAGCUCAUAUGUCACAAAUAUUUAAGAGAAAGAGUUUGGAAAUUGUUGGCUUAAAUCUUAUCUAUUCUUUUGCAUGGGCGGGUGCAAUGCUGCAGGAAGGAGAUAUCUCUUCUGAUGAGGAAGUUGAAUAUGAGGGCAGUAAAGGUCGUAGUUGUUGCCCCAGAGAUCGCACAAUCUGUAGAGGACCCAAAAUCUACAGCUACGGUACAUUUUGUUUUGUAGUACCUUAUUAGUCGUGUGACAUUAUUGUUUAUGAACUUAUGUCUUUUGACCUUUAAUCUGUGAAGAAUACCUUGUAGACCAGCAGGAAAGCCAAAAAACUACUUGAAGCUCCCAAGAUGGUUGUUCCUAUUUGGCCUGUAGCUCGUUGUAUAACGACCUAGCGCAUACCCCCUCGUGCGCCUGUCCAGCGUAUGGGCCAGCCCAGUCUGGUUAUUUCCCCUCCGGAUUUGGGAGGGUUCUACAACCUUGGUUGAACCUGAUUUUCUGUUUUCCUUUUUGUUCUCUUUUUCAUUUUCUCUUUUACGUUUGUUUUUAUUUUUCUAUUUUCUUUCUUUUUUUCUCAUUCAUCUUGCAAACUUCUUUCAAUUUGUGAACAUUUCUAAUAAACUUGCAAACAUUUUUUGAAACCACAAACAUCAUUAUAUAUUCACCAAAAUUUAUGGAAAUUGUUAACAUUUUCUGAAACUCGUGAAUAUUUUUUAUAAUAGGCGAACCUAUUUUGAAUUGAAGCAUAUUUUUUGAGUUAUGGGAACGCUUUAUUAAAUUCACUAAUAUUUUGUUAAUAAAAACUGUUUUUGAAAUGCAAGAACAUCUUUUGAAUCAGUGAACAUUCAUUGAAUCAAUGAACUUCUUUUAAAAUUUGGGAACAGUUUAUGAAAUUCUCACGCAUUUUUUGAUAUUUGUGAACUUUUUCUAAAAAUUCAUCAACAUUUGAAUGCGUGAUUUUUUUUUCAAAUUUACAAACAUGUUUUGAAUAUGAGAACAUUCUUUUAUUUUCCCGAACAUUUAGUCAAAACCACAAAUAUUUUUUGAAUAAGCAAACUUUUUUCUCAAAAUCACCAACAUUAUUUGAAUCCACAAAUAUUUUAUGAUAUCUUGAACUUUUUUGAAAAUCAUGAACAUUUUAUGAUUUCUGCAAUAAAUAUUUCAAAUUUUACAAAAAAUUUGCGAUUGGUAUCAUUUUUAAAUUACAAAUUAUUUUAAAUAGGAAACAGAAAAAAUGAAAAGAAAAAAUAAAAAGCAAAAAAUUAAAAAUAAAAUAGGCAUCCCACCUCCCACAUGGGUCGGCCCAAGAACGUUUGCGGGAGAGCGGGUCGCCAAUAUGAAAUUCUCACGCAUUUUUUGAUAUUUGUGAACUUUUCUAAAAAUUCACGAACAUUUGAAUGCGUGAUUUUUUUCAAAUUCACAAACAUGUUUUGAAUAUGUGAACAUUCUUUUAUUUUCCCGAACAUUUCGUCAAAAUCACAAAUAUUUUUUGAAUAAGCAAACUUUUUUCUCAAAAUGACGAACAUUGUUUGAAUCCACAAAUAUUUUAUAAUAUCUUGAACGUUUUUGAAAAUCAUGAACAUUUUAUGAUUUCUGAAAUAAAUAUUUCAAAUUUAGCAAAAAAAUUGCGAUUGGUAUCGUUUUGAAAUGCCAAAUUAUUUUAAAUAGGAAACAGAAAAAAUUGAAAAGAAAAAUAAAAAGCAAAAAAAAUAAAAAUAAAAUAGGCAUCCCACCUCCCACAUGGGUCGGCCCAAGAACGUUUGCGGGAGAGCGGGUGUGCCGUGUCCUCCUCGCAGCGACUUGGGCUCGGCCCAUCUACGUUCUGCUUUUAUUCCGCCAAAAAGGAAAGUGCGUUAUUGUAGGAUUCGAACCCACGGGUUCUGCAUUCUACCUUACCUGCAGUAACCACCAGGCCAUCAGAUCAGAUCUGAUCAGUUAUAUCUUCUUCCCUAUUUUCUUUCGUCUCGCUGUUUUUCUUCAUUUUUUUUCCUUUUGCUUGUUCUUUUUCUCCAUUGUUGGAACGGUUUUGUUCCCUUUUCCCUUUUCUUUUUCUUUGUUAAACGUGUGAACUCUUUUUUUUAUCAAAAUCCGAUGAACCUUUUCAAAUUCGUGAACUAAUUUUUCAAAAUCGAUGAACACUUUUUUCAAAACCGAUGAUUUUUUUCCAAAAUCAACGCACUCUUUUCGAAAUCGAUGAACUCUUUUUCAAAUCAAUGAACUCAUUUCAAAUUGAUGAACUCUUUUUGAAAUUUUUUUCAAAACUUUUGAUCUCUUUUCAAUAUUGAUGAACUCUUUUUCAGAAGCGAUGAACUUUUUCAAAAUCGAUGAACUCUUUUUAAAAUCGAUGAACAUUUUCAAAAUCGACGAACUCUUUUCGAAAUCUUUUUUUCAAACCGAUGAACUUUUUUCAAAACUGAUGAUCUCUUUUUCAAAUUGAUGAAUUCUUUUUCAAACCUGGUGAACUUUUUUCAAAACGGACGAUCUCUUUUCAAAAUUGAUGAAUUCUUUUUCAAAACCGAUGAACUUUUUCAAAAUCGAUGAACUCUUUUCAAAAUUGAUGAACUUUUUUCAAAAUCGAUGAACUCUUUUCGAUAUCGAUGAACUCUUUUCAAAAUCGAUGAACUUUUUUCCAAAUCGAUGAACUCUUUUCGAAAUCCAUGAACUUUUUUGAAUUUUGAUGAACUUUUUUUCAAACUUGGUGAAGUAAUUUUCAAUUUUGAUGAACUUUUUUUUAAUUUGAUGAACUUUUUCCAGAUACGAUGAAGAUUGUUUGCAAUUUCGAUGAACUUAUUUCAAAUUGAUGAUUUUUUUUCAAAACGGUGAACUUUUUCCAAAAUCGAUGAACUUUUUUUAAAUUCGUGAACUUUUUUCUCAAGAUUUGUGAACUAUUUUUCAACAGGUUAACUUUUUCUCAAAAUUGUGAACUUUCUCAAAUUGCUCAACUUUUUUCAAUUUUUUUUAAAAUCCUAUGUACUUUUUUUAUAAUGUUUACAAAUAGUUGAAAAAUCAAAGCGCCACGGUUAAUGUCAUGCGUGCAAUAAAGUACACGGCCACAAAUGUCCUUAAACGCUUUACGCUGAAAUAAGUCAAUAGCAAGCAUUAGGUCAGGUGGUGAAAGUGUGUUAUAUCGACUAGAAGGGGGUGAAUAGGCAAUUUCUAUGAAAGUCUUCAAAACAUGGAAGUUUCGAAGACAAAUGAUAGAAAUGAACCUAUUACCAUACAACGAAAGGUAAACUACACUAGGCAGACCAUAGUCAAGCAUUCAAUAAAGUGAAACCACAAUGACUAAUAGCAGCUAGGCAGUAAGGAUCAGGUACACAGUGAAGACAAAUAGUUAAAGCAAAUAGGCACUGACUUCACAAGAGCCAACUGUAAAUAAAGAGAUGGGAAGGAUAGAACCAGUGUGCGUGAUGAAGACAAAUGUUUGGUAGACCAGUUCCAACUGCGGUGACAGUUGUACGUCUGGUUAGAGCGGAUAGGUAUUUAAACCAGAGGACAGUCAGUCCCGGACACUUAGUCCUGAACACGCAGCUCAGGACAUUUAGUCCUCACCGUAUUCCCCUUGAGCUAAGGUCACACAGACCUCGCCCAAUCACUCUGGUAAGUCUUCAAGGUAGACUUCCAAACCUUCACAGACUUCGUUCACCGGCGAUCCACAAUGACUCUUGGAUGCUCAGAACGCGAUGCCUAACCGGCUGGAGGAUUCACAGUCCUCACGUGUAAUAAGUCUUCAGAUCACACAGACAAGAAGACUUAAGUGAUGCCUAACACUCUUUGACUCUGGGUGGUUAGGGCUUUAUCCUCUUAAGGAAUUCUCUCUCAAAGGCUUCAAGGUGGGUUGCUCUCAAACGACAAAAGCCAUACUUUAACUCUAAGCAGCCAACCGUUUAUGGUUGUAGGGGGUGGACUAUUUAUAGCCACUAGGCAACCCGACCUGAUUUGUCCGAAAUGACCCUGGGUCACUAAGGAACUGACACGUGUUCCAACGAUCAGAUUUCAAACACACACGACAACUUUACUUGGGCUACAAGCAAAGCUGACUUGUCCAACUCUGGACAAGAUUCACUCUUAUAGUCUUCACUCGAAGACAUAGGAUUUUAGUUAAGCAUCACUUCAGUCAUUCUGACUAGUUCUCUUGGACCUCACUCAACAGUACGGUGGUUCCUAUGACUAAACAAAGAAGAAAAAGAACUACGAAAGAUCUAAGUCUUCGCGCUUCAUAGUCUUCAUGCGAUGUCUUCUCUUGUCAUAGUCUUCAAUGUGAAUGUCUUCACAUAUCACCUUUGACUUCAAUGUCUUCAUACAUUUUUAGGGGUCAUCUCUGGUAGGAAAACCGAAUCAAUGAGGGAUUUCUACCUGUGUUAUCUUGCAAUUCUCACAAACACAUUAGUCCCUCAACUAGGUUUGUCGUCAAUACUCCAAAACCAACUAGGGAUGGCACUAGAUGCACUUACAGGUGGUUAGGGAAACUCGUACGUUUCUGUAACAGCGGGAGUUCGAUCACUCACGAGAACAACAUUUUCGGGAUUUUUUCGCUCUAGCGCUACCCACGUGCUAGCUUUAUCGAAUGAACUUUUGCUGGGCCGGCCCAGUAGCAACGCCUUCAGGCGCCAGUAAGCCGAACCGGCGCUAAGAGCGCCGGUUAGGAGCUCCCCGCCAAUAGGAGGUCCCAAGCGAGAGCAGCGAUUUAGUUCACCGGGCUCAUCUGAGCCUGGGCUCCGGUUGAAUUAUCGGUCCUAAGCGAGAUACUACUCUGUCGCAAUCACACAUCGUCCGAGGGGACUGAUCCCAUUUCCUAUUUGGUGCCCUCGGCGGCAGUUAAAGGAUAUUCUACAAAUCAGCGCACAACCCCAUCUGGUUUGGGCUUGGCUCAUUUCGUUUACGUCAGAUUCGAUCUCUAAACCUCACACUUCAAUACUAACCACGAUAACCAGCUGGGACACCUCACCUUUCGUGUCAAAAAAAACCACGAUAACCAGCUCGGACACCUCACCUUUCGUGACUACCUACUAUUUGCUUCUUCUUUGUUGUGCGUCAACUUGUAAUACUAAAAAGAGGACUCAUUUAAAAAAAAAUCUUUGGCUGGUUUUUCUUUGGUUUUUUAUAUUAUUUUUAUUUUUAUUUUUCCUAUAUUCAGUUUUCUAUUUUUAAAUGCUUGAAAUUUUUUCAAUUUUCACCAACCUUUUUCACAUCCAUGAACUAUUUUUUCCUAGUUUUUUUCUAACUUUCCAUUGAACUUUUUUUCUAAAUUUCAUGAACUUCUAUCAAAUCCGUGAUUAUUUUUCAGCCUUUUGCCACUUUUCAGUAAACUUCCUUUUAAAAUCCAUGAAAAUUUCGUUUUUUUGCUAAAUUUCCAGUGAACUUUUUUCAAAUUUCAUGAGUGAUAUUCAAAUUUUUGCAACUUUUAUAAUGAACUUCUUUUCCAAAAUUGGUAAACUUUUUUCAUAUCCAUGAUUUUUUUCAAAGCGCAUGGACUUUCUCGAAUCCAUGAACUUUUUUCAAAAUUAAUGAACUUGUUUCAAAUAUGAGAAUUUUGCAAAAACCGUGAACAUUUCAAAUCUGACAGAAAUUGUUUGUCAAAAUCGAUGAUCUUUUUUCAAAUUCAUGAACCUUUUUUCAGAUUCCUGAACUUUUUGUUAAAUUCAUAAAAAAAUCUAGGUUCACGAAUUUUUUUUGAAUUUAAUGUGCAUUAUUUGAAAAUUCUUGAACCUUUUCAAUUUUGUCCACUUUUUUCAAAUUGAUGAACUUUUUCAAAUUUGGGAACAUUUUUUGAAUUCAUAAACUUUUUCACAUCACGUGCUCGCAAGAGAAAACAAAAUCGGUAGCAAACCGCCUUACAUAGGCCAUGUUUGUUUGGGCUUAUACUUAAGUUUUGUAGUUUUUUCACUUUGGCUUGUAAGCCAAAAAAGCUUCUAAAUAGGGGAUUUUGUUUAUAGGNNNNNNNNNNNNNNNNNNNNNNNNNNNNNNNNNNNNNNNNNNNNNNNNNNNNNNNNNNNNNNNNNNNNNNNNNNNNNNNNNNNNNNNNNNNNNNNNNNNNNNNNNNNNNNNNNNNNNNNNNNNNNNNNNNNNNNNNNNNNNNNNNNNNNNNNNNNNNNNNNNNNNNNNNNNNNNNNNNNNNNNNNNNNNNNNNNNNNNNNNNNNNNNNNNNNNNNNNNNNNNNNNNNNNNNNNNNNNNNNNNNNNNNNNNNNNNNNNNNNNNNNNNNNNNNNNNNNNNNNNNNNNNNNNNNNNNNNNNNNNNNNNNNNNNNNNNNNNNNNNNNNNNNNNNNNNNGGAUUUUUUUGGCUUUCAAGCCAAAGUGAAAAGGCGGUAAAAGCUGAAGUAUAAGCUCAAACAAACAAGGCCAUAGAGAUAGAUCGAACAAUUAGUUUGCAUGGUGGUGCGAGCUAUAUGGGCCGCGACCCACUAGGGAAGUGCGUGAGCGCUAGCUAGUCUUUGCGGUGCUUAUAAGGUGCCAAUGAGGGGCUCUUGAGGCUGGUCAUAGUAGGGAGUAACUUAGGCCUCCUUUAGUUUAGAGGAAUUUCAUAGGAAUUCUAGAGGAUAGGAUUUUGAUAGGAUUUUUUCCUUUAGAGCCAUUUGGUUCAUAGGAAUGAAUUUCUAUUCCUACAUAGGAUUGGUUCCUAUCCUCCACAUUUCAUAGGAAAAUAAAAAAGAGCCUAGACUCAAUGGAAAAAUUCCUUUGGUGUCGACCAAAUGACAUCUUGUUUCCUAUUUCUACUCAUAGGAUUUGAGAUACAUGUCAUCUCAUUUCCUACAAGAUUCUUAUUCCUAUGAUAAUUCUAUCCUAUGAACCAAAAAAGGCCUUAAACUAGUAACAUGCAUAUGUUACUAGUCUAUGUUACUACCUCUAUAGUGCAUAGUAUCAUAGAUUAAUAUCAUAGGUGGUCUCAUUUAUUGCCAUGCAUGACACAUAGUAGCAUCAUAUUUAUUAUAUUACUGUAUCUACCUAUGUUACUAUAACCAUCUCUCUCUUCUUUAAUUGCCUUCCAUAUAAGCAUGUUUGCGAGUUCCAAGUGCAUGAUACUACUUAUGUUAUCCCCACUAUGGCCAGCCUGAGACUGAUCGGGCCAGCAUCGAUCUUAGACAAUUUGGCUUCACAGUUUGACCGAUCGAGCCAGAUUUGACAAGAUUGCCUUUAAACACCGACAUGAUUAAUACGGGAGGAACUAAUCAAGGCGUACUACUAGCGCCCUCUCAACCUCCACCACAUGUCGCAAGCUGGGCGUUCCCUCGAAAUUUAGUUUUUUACUCUACUAGUAAUAAUGUACGUGCAAUGCACGUUUAUAUUAUGUAGAAUAUUAGUUGCACGUUAUAUUAGGUAAGAUAUAUCUGUUGCACCUUGGUAUUUGGUAGGAUAUCAAUUAUUAUUUUCGCGGGAAGGUAGGAUAUUAAUUACAUGACAUAUUUCAUGGGAUAGCAUCGAGUCAAAACAUGUUUAUAACCAAUAGCAUUGGUGGGUAAUUAGAGUGUUAAACGUGUUUGAUGCUCAACAUUGGAGCGAUUUGAAUCGCUAGAUAACAUGAUUUGACGGUCGAGAUGGUUUGGAUCUGCCCCUUUGGGUCUUUUUAUAUUGGUAUAGAUACGUGUUUUCGGGUUUUAGAUGGUUUUCCAGCCUGGUUUUCCCUAGCUUCUAGAAGAAAAAGUAAAAAAAUCAUGAAAAAGGCGGGUUUUUCUUCUUCCACGGGAGGCACAGAUUUGCUUUCCGUGGAGGCACAGAUUUGCUUCCGAGGGAGGCACAUAUUUGCUUCUCGUGAAGGCACAUACUCAAAAAAAAGAAAAAACAUCUUUUUUUCUUAGAGACACAGAUUUGCUUCCGUGAGAAAAAAAAAUGCUUUUUUUGCUUUCACGGGAGGUACAUAUUUGCUUCUCGCGCAGGCACAUAAUCUCAAGAAAGAAAAAGGAAACAUUUUCUUUUUGCUUGGAUGGCAUAGAUUCCGCGAGAGGCAUAGUUGUGCAUGUCGAAAAGGGAAAAAACGUGCUUUUUCUUCUAUGAGAAGCACCUCUCGGAAAUGAAAAAACAAGUAUUUGUUCUUUCGCGGGAAGCACAAAUUUGCUUCCGCGAGAGGCACAACUUCCGACUAGAUUAUCUUUUCUUUUGUUUUAUUUCCAAAAAAAAGUUCAUCGAAACUUAUUAGCAUGGGAUCUAGUUUCGAAUAUCUCGGCGGAAGAAAUUCAACAGUGAAAAUGGUUCAAGAUUUGAAUGCACAGUUUAAGAUAUAAAACAUUUUGAAUAAGCAAAUCUACAGGAAAAAAAGAACUUCUAGAUUAUGACAAGUAGCACACAUGCAGUGCGUCACUUGUCAACUAUGAAAAGACGAGAGUGAACUUUGUAAGCGAUACCUUUUAAUUAGUGAUCUUGGAGUAAUACGAUGGUCUUUGUGCGUGGACGAUAUCCGCUUGAAAUGGACGCCCCGACACGCGCCACUCUCUGGGGAAAUUAGUUCCGUCUUAGUAUAAUCUAGUUUUCUAAGCCUUUAACGUACUGCCAUCAUCCACCUCAGUUACGUGUAGUGCAUGGCGCCAACCAGUGGCACCAUAUACAUUGCCCUUCCUAGCCGUCCCAUGCUUAAUGAUUCGACCGACGUGACCAUCAGUUUAGUCCGCCCGGCACCCGCACCCGCACCGCACAGAGAUGACAUGACGACGACACGAUCGCCCUGCCUUGCAUCAUUGUUAACUAAAUGGCGCGCGAAUGCGUGGCGCCAUCAAGCCUUUAAAGCUGCCACGUACAUCAUCCUCGAUCCCAUUUCGCGCAUCUCUUCCGUCUGGCCGCAGUCGUAUGAUCAUCCGCACCUGCGCUAGUGAUAGUACUACAAAGACUAUUUAACGCGAUCGACGCAACAUUAGAAUGUGGCCCAGCGCAACACAUGCUCGGCGUUUGUCUCAUGUGCAACUAAACUAUGCCAUCUCCGUCCAGAAUGGACGGUCGGUCGUGCACCGGUUCCCCUUGUUUUGGAAAAAAAAAUUAUAAUAGUAGUACGAAUCAACUGCUCCCCCUUACUACCUAACAUUACAAUGUGCAAGUGAUUAGUGAGUAGUGACGGUGAGGUCCACUUGGCGACCAACCACGUCGAUCCGGCCCAAAGUGGUUAGCCUGUAACGAUUACGUGAUUAACCUUGAGCGUUUUGUCUGCGCGGGCACUAGCUCGUGAAAUGAAUGGGAGAUUCAUACUACUAUACUACUACUAGUACAUUCGGUGCACGCGGAUAUGCCCCGAGAUCAACGCUUCUUCUGACUUCUGUUUCCUCGAAGGAAAGAAAACGCAUGUUACUCAAAGAAAACGGCGGAAUUCAGAUAUUGCCGCGGGGCCUGUCGAUUCCAUAAUUGACAUGCUGCCGGUGAGCAUGUGAGCCAGCUCCCCUGCCUUGAAGUUGAAUCCAUAUUUUUGGAAACUAGAUGUGGCUUUUGCGCCGCAGAAACUUCACCAAGUUACUUUACCAAAGCUGUUGAUGUGCUUUAGUUCUCUCGGUAGAUACGCGCACUUUACUGGGGACGAUAGCAAAAUUUGUGACGGGUGGUCUCAAGUAAUAGAAAUCGGAAGGAGUGGCCUCUCUUUUAUUAAAGGAAACGCAUGAUUUAUGACUUGUCAAUUUUCGAACUUGGUGAGCAGCGAUACGGUGUGUCUAGUCACGAACGAUUCGUCAAGCAACGAAAAGAGAAAGAAAACGGGCGGGAGCAGGUAGCGAUCGCGCGCGCGAGGCAGAGAGCAAUCAUGCAUACGGCAUACCAAAGCAAUGGAGCAGCCCGAAAAGGCUCUGUCCUAUCACUGGCGACUACCGUUGACUUAACAAACUAAGAGCAUUUACGGUUCGACUUAGUAGCAAAUUCGUUUCCUUAGGCCUCGAUUGGAAUGUCGUUUUCAGCGCUUUUACACCUGUAAAAUAUACAGACCACGACCCGUCGUUUUGAUUCUCAGCUGAAAUUAGCACACGGCUGGUAAAAUACACUUGUAAAACAAAUACAGGUGUAUAAAAAUACACCGAUUCCAAACAGGGCCUUAGUGGGGAAUAACUUAGGCUGAUCAUAGUGGGGAGUAAGGGCAUCUCCAAUGGUGGUAAGAUAGUUGUUGGUAGAUUUUGCCAUAUAAAUUUUUUGAUAAUGUGUCAUACAAUAAAUGAGGAAAAAGAGAAAGGUUGCACUUCCUCUGUUUUUAUUUAGUCUGCAUAUUAUAUUUGACCGAAGUCAAACUUUGCAAAGUUUGACCAAAUUUAUAGAAAAAUAUAUAAACAUUUACCAUAACAAAUCUAUAUGAUAUGAAAGUACAUUCAAUAAUGAAUCUAGUGGUAUUGAUUUUUUAUUGUAUAUUAUAAUAUUUUUGUUUAUAAAUUUAGUCAAAAUUUACAAAGCUUGACUUUGACCAAAACUAAUAUGCGGACUAAGUAAAAACGGAGGAAGUAUAUACUCCCUCUAGUCCUUUUUAGUCUGCAUAUAACUCUUGACCCGCAUACCAAGGUGAGAUUUUUGCAGAUGAUUUUAGACUAGUAUGCCCUUCUGUUUGCAUUGAGAAAGCUGCAACGCUCUAUUUAUUGCUGCAAACUAACUGGCUGCAUGCAGUCGUAUUUUACUCCCACGCAUGGCCCCAACAUGCAAACCAGGCUGGCUGCAGCCAUAACCUCCCGUGCACAAUCCCACAUGCAAACUGAUUAGCCGUAUGGUACGCCUCUCCAUUCCAAACGCAUGCGAACAGUUGCAUGCAAAGCAAAUAAUUAGGGGCAAAAUAGAAAAGAAAGACCAAAACAUGCUGCCGCGCAGAGUAAUACGAGAAAAACGGAAAAACCUUAGACGCAAAGUAAAAAUGACCGGAGGGAGUACAUGAACCAACACUCCUUGCACAGGCUCCAAUGUAGAAUAAAAGAGCACCUUAUUUAUUAUCUCACAUCCUAUUGGGCAAACUAGAUAGUACAACCCAUUAAAGUUGUUGUAUGUUAAGGUGUUGGUUGAUGACAUGGCAUAUUUUACCAACAAGGUAACAUACAAACCGUUGAAGAUGCCCUAACUUAUACUAGUGUCAUGCAUAUGACACUAAUCUAAGUUACUGCCUCCAUAGUGCAAAGUAACAUAGUGAUAGUGUCAUCAUUUAUUAGCUUGUAGACUCAUCAUUUUUCGGAAAACGCUAUGUUACAGUAAUAUAUUAUGUUACUCUAAACACCCCUCUCCUUAUUAAUUACAUGACAUAUAAGCAAAUUUGUCUUGAAAUGCGCUAUGUUACUAGCUAAGUUGCUUCCACUAUGACCAGCCUUAGACUAGUGUCAUGCAUAUGACAUUAGUCUAUGUUACCACCCUUAUAGUGUAAAGUGUCAUACAAAUAGUAACAUAUAUGGUUGCAUUUAUUAGCUUUUAGACUCAACUUUUCUUGGGAAACGCUAUGUGAUGGUAACACAAUAUGUUACUCCAAACACCUCUCUCCUUAUUAACUAGUUGUCACAUAAGGAAACUUGUCUCGGGAUAUGUUAUGUUACUUGCUAUGUUACUCCCACUAUGACCAGCCUUAUAUGCUCACGAGUGUGUCGGGAGGUGUCUGCGGACAGCAUCGGACGGUCUCUNNNNNNNNNNNNNNNNNNNNNNNNNNNNNNNNNNNNNNNNNNNNNNNNNNNNNNNNNNNNNNNNNNNNNNNNNNNNNNNNNNNNNNNNNNNNNNNNNNNNNNNNNNNNNNNNNNNNNNNNNNNNNNNNNNNNNNNNNNNNNNNNNNNNNNNNNNNNNNNNNNNNNNNNNNNNNNNNNNNNNNNNNNNNNNNNNNNNNNNNNNNNNNNNNNNNNNNNNNNNNNNGGAAAUGCAUGCACGUCCAUCAUGCACGUGAAAUGUCACAUGUAAAUAAACAUAAAAAUUACUUUAGGUGUCCAAUUCAAACAUUAGCCUUUUGGUUUUCAUUGUAGACCCACAUAUACUUCAAAAUAUUAUUGAGUAGCUACGCAUGCACCUGAUGAUCUAGAAGAUUCUGAUGCAUCUGCAAAAAAAUCAUAAGUUGGUCUGCAUCCUGAUCUUUCGGGGUGUGGACUUGUUCCCGAGUCGUUUCAAAAUCAUUGGUUGGGGCUACCCCAUCACUCUCGUCUUUGACAAUCAUAUUGUGCCAAAUGACACAACAUGUCAUCAGCUAUCACAAAAGUCUUUGAUUCCCACAUCAUUGCAGCUCCACGAACAAUUCUACAAUGAGGUUGAAACACUGUGAAUGCCCUCUCCACAUCCUUGCUAGUUGUUUGGUGCAUUGUUGCAAAGUGGCUUUGUUUGUUGCCUUGGGAUCAUAUAUGGUCUUCACAAACACCGCCCAUUGAGGAUAGAUACCAUCGGCAAGGUAGUACCACAU